This 305-nucleotide ribosomal RNA is filed under the name uncultured bacterium. RNAcentral's name for it is "bacterial SSU rRNA". It matches the Rfam family "Bacterial small subunit ribosomal RNA", at positions 337 to 635 of the family's 1533-position model. The record is from RNAcentral.
GCCUACGGGGGGCAGCAGUAGGGAAUUUUCGUCAAUGGGCGCAAGCCUGAACGAGCAAUGCCGCGUGAACGAGGAAGGUCUUCGGAUCGUAAAGUUCUGUUGAAGGGGAAAAAGAGCGGAGAGAGGAAAUGCUUUCUGAUUGAUAUUACCCUUCGAGGAAGUCACGGCUAACUACGUGCCAGCAGCCGCGGUAAUACGUAGGUGGCGAGCGUUAUCCGGAAUGAUUGGGCGUAAAGGGUGCGUAGGCGGCCUGCUAAGUCUGGAGGGAAAGGUACCGGCUCAACCGGUACAGGCUCUGGAAACUG